Molecule: transfer RNA, 54 nt
Filed under: Xenicus longipes (Bush wren)
Lineage: Eukaryota; Metazoa; Chordata; Aves; Passeriformes; Acanthisittidae
Description: partial tRNA-Ile
Source: RNAcentral
AAAGGGUCACUGUGAUAAAGUGAACAUAGAGGUACACCAGCCCUCUCAUUUCCU